AUUGAACGCUGGCNGCAUGCUUUACACAUGCAAGUCGAACGGCAGCACAGAGAAGCUUGCUUCUUGGGUGGCGAGUGGCGAACGGGUGAGUAACAUAUCGGAACGUACCGAGUAAUGGGGGAUAACUAAUCGAAAGAUUAGCUAAUACCGCAUAUUCUCUGAGGAGGAAAGCAGGGGACCUUCGGGCCUUGCGUUAUUCGAGCGGCCGAUAUCUGAUUAGCUAGUUGGUGGGGUAAAGGCCUACCAAGGCGACGAUCAGUAGCGGGUCUGAGAGGAUGAUCCGCCACACUGGGGCUGAGACACGGCCCAGACUCCUACGGGAGGCAGCAGUGGGGAAUUUUGGACAAUGGGCGCAAGCCUGAUCCAGCCAUGCCGCGUGUCUGAAGAAGGCCUUCGGGUUGUAAAGGACUUUUGUCAGGGAAGAAAAGGCUGUUGCUAAUAUCAAUAGCUGAUGACGGUACCUGAAGAAUAAGCACCGGCUAACUACGUGCCAGCAGCCGCGGUAAUACGUAGGGUGCGAGCGUUAAUCGGAAUUACUGGGCGUAAAGCGAGCGCAGACGGUUACUUAAGCAGGAUGUGAAAUCCCCGGGCUCAACCUGGGAACUGCGUUCUGAACUGGGUGACUAGAGUGUGUCAGAGGGAGGUAGAAUUCCACGUGUAGCAGUGAAAUGCGUAGAGAUGUGGAGGAAUACCGAUGGCGAAGGCAGCCUCCUGGGAUAACACUGACGUUCAUGCUCGAAAGCGUGGGUAGCAAACAGG
This 759-nucleotide ribosomal RNA is filed under the name Neisseria cinerea. RNAcentral describes it as "bacterial SSU rRNA". It matches the Rfam family "Bacterial small subunit ribosomal RNA", at positions 28 to 776 of the family's 1533-position model. The record is from RNAcentral. Lineage: Bacteria; Pseudomonadati; Pseudomonadota; Betaproteobacteria; Neisseriales; Neisseriaceae.